UACGGAGGAGGCAAGCGUUAUCCGGAAUUAUUGGGCGUAAAGCGUCCGUAGGUGGCUAGUCAAGUCUGCGGUCAAAGACUGGGGCUUAACCCUGGAAAGGCCGUGGAAACUGACGAGCUAGAGUGCAGUAGGGGUAGAGGGAAUUCCCGGUGUAGCGGUGAAAUGCGUAGAGCUCGGGAAGAACAUCGGUGGCGAAAGCGCCUACUG
Molecule: ribosomal RNA, 207 nt
Filed under: uncultured bacterium
Lineage: Bacteria
Description: partial 16S ribosomal RNA
Rfam family: Bacterial small subunit ribosomal RNA
Source: RNAcentral